This 335-nucleotide ribosomal RNA is filed under the name uncultured Flavobacterium sp. RNAcentral describes it as "bacterial SSU rRNA". It matches the Rfam family "Bacterial small subunit ribosomal RNA", at positions 1048 to 1382 of the family's 1533-position model. The record is from RNAcentral. Lineage: Bacteria; Pseudomonadati; Bacteroidota; Flavobacteriia; Flavobacteriales; Flavobacteriaceae.
GGUGUCGUCAGCUCGUGCCGUGAGGUGUCAGGUUAAGUCCUAUAACGAGCGCAACCCCUGUUGUUAGUUGCCAGCGAGUCAAGUCGGGAACUCUAGCAAGACUGCCAGUGCAAACUGUGAGGAAGGUGGGGAUGACGUCAAAUCAUCACGGCCCUUACGCCUUGGGCUACACACGUGCUACAAUGGACGGUACAGAGAGCAGCCACUACGCAAGUAGGCGCGAAUCUUCAAAGCCGUUCUCAGUUCGGAUCGGAGUCUGCAACUCGACUCCGUGAAGCUGGAUUCGCUAGUAAUCGCAGAUCAGCCAUGCUGCGGUGAAUACGUUCCCGGGCCUU